GCGUGGUGGACGGCUCGGUUCCC
RNAcentral lists this ribosomal RNA (23 nucleotides) under Halimeda gigas. Its description in RNAcentral is "partial 5.8S ribosomal RNA". The record is from RNAcentral. Lineage: Eukaryota; Viridiplantae; Chlorophyta; Ulvophyceae; Bryopsidales; Halimedaceae.